UGCCUGAUUGCCGCCGCGGACGAGCUCGUCGUCACCCAUCUCCCCGGCUUCCAGGGACCCCUCCCCUUCCAGCUCCGAACAGGGUCAGCUCUGCCUCUGCAUGUGGCUCUGAGCCGUCAAUAAUAAUCUCUUGGAUUUCUAUCACCGUGAUUAGCUAUGGCUCACCGGCCGGCGGGCGUACAGGUACGUGGAGGUGGACGAGCACAAUGGCGUCCGUCUCUUCUACUACUUCAUCCUCUCCGAGGGCUCCCCCGCCGACGACCCAGUCAUGCUCUGGCUCAGCGGCGGCCCUGGAUGCACUUCCUUCACCGGCCUCGUCUACCAGAAUGGUGCGUAUGGUAGCCUCCUCCUACUGAUGGUUAAUUCAGAAAGGCACAACACAGUUAUGCUACUGACACUGACAUUGGACAGGCCAAAAUGUGCAUUGGCAACUUUGGUACCUCCUCUUCACAUAGGAGAUGCUUAUGCUUCAUUGGAUCAUGUAGUUGUAGAAAAGCUCAUCAAGUAUAGUUAAAAAAAAAUAUGGCUUGAUAUAUUAUUAGAAUUCAUUUGUAAAAGUCUGCUUUAUUUGUGUAUACUGAAAUAAGAUAUACUACUGCACAAUCUUAACGAUGAUUUGUGCAUCCCUAAAAUAAUUUGCAGGCCC
This 646-nucleotide long non-coding RNA is filed under the name Sorghum bicolor (sorghum). RNAcentral describes it as "long non-coding RNA (SBIC_LNC003457)". Lineage: Eukaryota; Viridiplantae; Streptophyta; Magnoliopsida; Poales; Poaceae. The record is from RNAcentral.